UAAAAAGGUUUUCCUAAUUGGUUAAUAUUACCUAAGGUAAAAAGAAAAUAAAAGAUCUUAUUUCCAAAACGUAUUAGGAAAUAAAGAUUGUGCCUGAUUUUCUUCUUAAUUUGAUAAAGCUUGUUUUUUCUUUAUGCAAGUUACUCUAUAUUAGAUUUAAAAGCUUGAAUAGCAUUGAAAAAGCAUUGACUAUCCUGAAUACUCUAUUAGGGCAGAUUAAUGUCUUAAAUAAGGCAUGAAUAUGAGAUGUGCUCAAUUAAUCUAUUUAAUACUUCCUUCAUUUUCUUGGUUCUUACCUUUGUUAUUAAACCUCCAUGGAUGCUCAACGGUUCUUGUGAAGAUUUUACAAAUUGGUUCUCAUCAUUCCUCCUCUUUUGAAAAGGAUUUGUUCUUAAAUCUUCACUUACAUCAAAAGGAGAUAAAUUAGCCAACAUCAAAGCUUGCACUUACAUUAUACUCGGUUGAAAGAUCCAACUUAUAAGUGUUAUCAUUGAUCCUUUCAAUCACUUGAAAUGGUCUAUCUCCCCUUGGAUGUAGUUUUGAACACCUUUAAACAGGUACUUAUUUCUUACUCGUAUGCAACCAAACCCAAUCUCUUAGUUCAAUUACAACUUUGUUGUGCCUUUUGUUAGCUUGGUUAGCAUAUUGUUCAAUUCUCUUCUUAAUGUUUUGCCCUGCCUUUUACAUGGAUGUGCCUAAUAAAGUCAUCUUUCUUCUUUCUGUCUAAAUUAAUUCCCUCAUCUAAGGUAAAAAUGUUAAAUCCAAAGGAGUUAAUGGAUUAAAACCAUUCACAAUUUCAAAAGGUGAAAAUUAGUUGCUAAAUUUACACUCCCAAUAUAUACAAAUUCUACAUGUGGCAAACAUUCUUUCUAUACUUUCAAAUUCUUUUGUAUUAUAGCACGCAACAAAUUUAAUAAAGCCCUAUUAACUACUUCAUUUUGUCCAUCAAUUUAUAGAUGACAAGUAGUAGAAAACAAAAAUUUGGUUCCUAACUUACCCUAUAAAGUUUUCUAAAAUAAAUUUAAGAACUUUUCAUCCCUAUUUGAAAAGAUACUUUUAAACAUGCCAUGCAAUCUCACAAUCUCUUUGAAAAAUAAAUCAGUAAUAUGUGAUGCAUUAUUAGUUUUAUGAUAUAGAAAUAUAGUGUUUCAUUUAAACAAACCUAGCAAUGACCACAUGGAUGGAAUCUAUACCCUUUUUUGACAUAGGUAAAUCUAAAACAAAAUCUAUAGAUAUGCUAGUCUAGGAUUCACUAGGUAUAAGCAAAGGAGUAUACAAACCAUAAGGUUUAACUUUAAACUUAGCUCGUCUACAAGUAAACACUUCUCACAAAUCCUUUCUAUACCAUAUUUCAUAUGAGCCCCCAAAAGAAAUGUUCAUGUUAAACACCUAAAGUUUAGAUAUACCAAAAUGCCCUAUCAAACCACCCCCAUGAGCUUCUCUAACAAGCAAGUUACUAAUGAAAAGCACACAUAACUUAUUUUCUCGAAAUAAAAAACCAUUAUACCCAAAGAAUUUGCCAAAUACCACUUUCUCAAAUGCAUUGAAUACAUUACUAAAAUCAAAAUCACCAAUAUAAAAGUCUUUAAUGCAUUCAAAACCUAAUAUUUUUGCAUCUAAGGUAAAAAAGUAAGGCAUACCUUUGAGAUAAUGCAUUAGCCACAAUGUUUUCCUUACCUUGUUUAUACCUGAUCACAUAAAAAUGUUAACUUAAAUAAAAUCCUUAAUUGAUUUUGAUGAUAACAAACAUGAUUAAGAUUGAUUAAUCUUUUAAAAGCUCAACAUAUUUUUCAUCUAUUUUGACAAGUUUCAUAAAGUAUGUUUAUAAAGAUUUGGAGACAAAACAGUCAUCUUGCAAAAUAGUUCACUGCAGCAGUUUUUGUGGAAAACGGCUAACCGACAGUUGUGAUAAACGGCUCGCCGAUAUCAACCAGAACUGAAGUAUAGCCUCUGGACCUAAACGGCGAUCCGACAGGUUUGAUAAACGGCUCACCGAUAUCAACCAGUAGCCUCUGGACCAAAACAGUGAUCCGACAAAUUUAAUAAACGGCUCGCCGAUAGCAAACAGAAGUGAAGUGUAGCCUCUGGACAUAAACGGCGAUCCGACAUCUAGUUAACGGCGAUCCGACAAUUUGAAAAAUCAGCCCAACGGUCAUAUUGACCAGUCAAAUGGCGAUCCGAUAUCUAUCUAACGGCGAUCCGACAGUGUGCAGACAGUCUAUAACGGCUAGUUUUCAGCUGCAGCUAUAAAUAAGCUCAUUCAAAUUCAAACAAAAAUUGAUCACAACACGACCUUUGAGCAAAUAUUCGAGAAUACAAUCUUCAUAAAGCUUAAAACACUUUCUUGCUUCAUCUAUUCACAUAAUAAGCAUCAUUGUGUAAUCUUAUAUAUUGUGAGAGGUAAAACAAAUUGGUAAUAUUUUACUUUGAGUGAUUAUAAGUGUUAGAAUACACUUGGGUUAAGAGAUUGGGGAUAAUCUCUUGUUGUAAAGGUUUAUUGACACCUUGGAAGUCAAGUGUAAGCAUUUGAAGCCUUAGCGGCUUGCUUAGUGGAAUCCUCAAGCCCAGAAAGCUUGGAGGUGUGGACGUAGGCGAGGUUGGCCGAACCACGUAAAAAUCUUUGUAUUUGAAUCCCUCUUCCCUUAUCUUUUUAUAUUGUGAUCAACUUAAUUGAUAUUGCUUUGAAUUUGGAUUAUAUUUGCAUUAAGUUUUUCUUUAUAAAUUGAAUAAUUUUUAGAAUCCCAAUUCACCCCCUUCUUGGGUUGCAUACUUGUAUUUCAAUUGGUAUCAGAGCCUUGUUCUCUUGUUAAGACUUAAUCGUCUAGAGUAAAAGAUCCAUGGCAACCCUAAAUGACUCAACCUUUAGAGAAUGGCAAUCCACAACUAGACCACCAUUUUUCGAUGGUAAUGACUAUGCUUAUUGGAAAACUAGAAUGAGAAUCUAUUUGCAAGCUUUAGAUUAUGAAAUUUGGGAAGUUGUUUGUGAUGGUCAAUUCAUGCCUACGUUUAAAGAUGAAGUAGGAGAUGAUAUUCCUAAACGAUCGAGUCAAUGGAGUGAGUUAGAAAAGAGAAAGAUGUCUCUAAACUCCAAGGCUAUGAAUGCUUUGUUUUGUGCCCUUGAUAAGAAAGAAUUCCAUAGAGUGUCUAGUUGUGCAAGUGCACAAGAGAUAUGGAACAAACUUGAAGUUGUCUAUGAAGGGACAAAUCAAGUAAAAGAGUCUAAAAUCAGUAAAUACACUCGUCAAUAUGAGUUGUUCCAAAUGGAACAAAAUGAAAAUGUGUAUUUUAUGCAUACUAGAUUCACGGACAUAGUGAACACCCUAGAUGCCUUAGGAAAAACCUUCUCAAAUAGUGAAAAAGUUAAGAAAAUCAUUAGGUCUCUUCCAAAAGAAUGGAGACCUAAAAGAACCGCCAUUGAAGAGGCCAAAGAUUUAAAUACUUUACCUCUUGAUGAUUUAAUUGGUUCUCUUAUUUCAUAUAAAGAGGAUUUAGCUGCAGAAAAAAGACAUGAGGAGAAGAAGAAAAGUAUUGCUCUCAAAGCUUCAAAAUAUGAGAGUGAUGGGGAAAGUGAACCGGAUGAUGAAGAGCUAGCCAUGCUAGCAAAGAGGUUCAGAAAAUUCUUCAAGAAAAUCGGAGAGCGAAGAAAUUUCAGAAACUUCAAGAACCAUAGGGAGAAGAAGGAGGCAAUCACAUGCUAUGAAUGCAAUAAGCCUGGACAUAUAAGAUCGGAGUGUCCACUUAUCAACAAACUCAAGAAGAAAGCAAUGGUUGCAACUUGGGAUGAUAGUGAGGAAAAUCAAGUGAUGAAGAAGGAUCGCAAGAAGUAUCAAACCUAGCACUCAUGGCAAUAGGAGGGGAUGAUGAUCUAAAUGAGGUAAGUGAUCCCACCUAUGAUGAAUUGUAUGAUGCUUUUAAAGAUUUGCAUAAUGAGUUGAUGAAGAUUGGUAAAAAGAAUGUAUGUCUUAAAAAGAAAAUGGCAAAGCUUAAAAAUGAAAAUGAAUCUCUAAAUGCAAGAAUUGUAUGCUUAGAAGUAGGGAACAAAACAUUGCAUGAUGAAAUUGUUUUAUCAAAUGAGAAACCUAGCAUCUUACAUGAGCAUUUAGAAUCACACAUAAAUGAGUUGAAAAAUGAGAACGAAAUGCUCAAGAAGAAGAGUAAUGAAUUGAAUGAAAUUGUUUUGAAAUUUACAAAUGGGCAAAAGAUGUUGGAUAAUAUGCUUAACUCACAAAAAUGUGUUUUUGAUAAAGGAGGACUUGGAUAUAAGCCUAACUUGAAGCAAAGUAUUAUAAGAAUUAUUUUUUUAACGCUACCUCCACAAAUGAUCAUAAGAUUGUAUGUCAUUAUUGUAAUCAAAAUGGUCACAUCAAAUAUAGAUGUCCUGUAAAAAGGAAUGCAUAUUAUGGUGUCAAAUGCAUUUGGGUUCCAAAAGGAACCGUUGCUAACUCUCAAGGACCCAAAAAGCUUUGGGUACCUAAAACUUGAGACUUUUUCGUGUAGGGCUUAAAGAAGAAGAAAAAUAAAUGGUACUUGGACAGUGGUUGUUCAAGGCACAUGACUAGAAACUAUGCAUGGUUCUCAAGCUUCACCAAAAUUGAAAAUGGUGGAGAUGUAUCUUUUGGAGACAACUCAAAAGGAAAAAUUCUUGGAAUUGAAAAUGUUGGUAAAGUCUCUUCAACUCUAAUUGAGAAUGUAUGUUUGGUUGAGAACUUGAAACACAACUUAAUUAGCAUUAGUCAAUUAUGUGACAAAGGUUAUAAAGUUAUCUUUGAUAAAUUUAGUUGUGUUAUUGAGAACUCAUGUGAUGGCAAAACCUUAUUUGUUGGAAAUAGAUGUGGUAAUGUUUAUAUCAUUGACAUAGAAUGUGCAUCUACUCUUGAUAAAUAUUUUUCGGCAUUGCAUGAUGAUUAUUGGUUAUGGCAUAGAAGGUUAGGACAUGCAAGUAUGGAUUUGAUUUCAAAAUUUUCGAAAGAUAAUUUAGUUAAAGGUCUUCCGAAAAUUGGUUUUCAAAAGGAUAAGAUUUGUGAAGCUUGUCAAUUUGGAAAACAAAUUAAAACUUCUUUUAAGAAUAAAAACCAUAUUUCUACUUCAAAAUCACUUGAACUUCUUCACAUAGAUCUUUUUGGGCCAUCUAGAUAUGCAAGUCUAAAUGGCAAAUAUUAUGCAUUUGUGAUAGUGGAUGAUUUUUCUAGAUAUACAUGGGUAUUAUUCUUAGCCAAUAAGGAUGAUGUUCUUGAUGCUUUUAAAGUGCUUUGUAAGAAAUUACAAAAUGAAAAAGGGCAUGGUAUUGUAUGCAUUAGGAGUGAUCAUGGAGGAGAAUUUGAAAAUCAUGUAUUUGAGAGUUUUUGCAAUAAUCUAGGCAUUGAGCAUCAAUUUUCAACACCUAGAACUCCACAACAAAAUGGAGUUGUUGAGAGAAAGAAUAGGUCUAUUCAAGAAAUGGCUAGGACCAUGUUAAAUGAAAAUGCAUUACUAAAAUAUUUUUGGGCCGAAGCCGUCAACACUGCUUGUUAUGUUUUAAAUUGGGUGUUGAUUAGACCUAAUCUUAAUAAAACUCCAUAUGAGCUUUGGAAAGAUAGAAAACCCAACAUUGGCUAUUUUAAAGUUUUUGGAUGCAAAUGUUUUGUUUUGAACACAAAAGAUAAUCUUGGUAAAUUUGAUCCAAAAUCUGAUGUUGGUAUUUUUCUUGGUUAUUCAAAUUCAAGCAAAGCUUAUAGAGUCUAUAACAAAAGAACUUUAAUUGUGGAGGAAUCUAUGCAUGUCACAUUUGAUGAGUCUAACCCCUCCUCUACGGAGAAAGUCGUUGUUGAUGAUGAUGCAGAAGAAGAACAACAAGAAGAAGAAGCAUCAAAUGACAAUCAAGAAGAUGCACCACAUGGAAUUCAAGAGGAACAUUAUGAAGAACCAAACGAGGAGCAAAAUGAAGGUACUUCUCAAACACUCCCCAAGGAGUGGAGGUAUGUCUCUUCUCACCCUAAAGAUGUAAUUUUAGGAGAUCCCUCACGAGGUAUUACAACUAGAUCAUCACUUAGAAAUACUUGUGAGCAUAAUGCAUUCACCUCUCAAAUUGAACCAAAAUCCUUUGAAGAUACAGAAAAUGAUGAAUCUUGGAUUAUGGCAAUGGAAGAGGAGUUAAAUCAAUUUGAAAGAAACAAUGUGUGGGAAUUAGUUCCUAAACCAGAACAUCAAUCUGUAAUAGGUACUAAAUGGGUGUUUAGAAAUAAGAUGAAUGAAUCCGGUGUGGUUGUAAGAAAUAAAGUUAGAUUGGUGGCUCAAGGUUACAACCAAGAAGAAGGAAUUGAUUUUGAUGAAACCUUUGCACCUGUAGCAAGGUUAGAAUCCAUUAGGAUGUUGUUAGCAUAUGCAUGUCAUAAGGAUUUUAUUUUGUAUCAAAUGGAUGUCAAGAGUGCUUUCUUAAAUGGUUAUAUUUUGGAGGAAGUUUAUGUGAAACAACCUCCUGGUUUUGAAAAUGAAAAAUUUCCAAAUCAUGUUUAUAAGUUGCUCAAAGCCUUGUAUGGUUUAAAACAAGCACCUAGAGUAUGGUAUGAUAGACUUAAAAAUUUUUUGCUAGAAAAUGAUUUUUCUAUGGGUAAAGCGGAUACUACUCUAUUUGUUAAGCAUAAGAACCAAGACAUACUUAUUGUUCAAAUUUAUGUUGAUGAUAUUAUUUUUGGUUCUACUAAUGAGUUGUUGUGUAAAGAAUUUUCAUCGUGUAUGAGCAAAGAAUUUGAGAUGAGUAUGAUGGGAGAGUUGAAAUACUUCCUUGGACUUCAAAUCAAACAAAACGAGGAAGGAAUUUUCAUAAAUCAAGCCAAGUAUGUAAAGGAUCUACUCAAACGAUUCGGCAUUGAUGAUUCAAAGACCAAGAAUACACCAAUGAGCACAACAACCAAGCUAGACAAAGAUGAAAAAGGUAAAGGAGUGGAUAUCAAAACGUAUCAAGGUAUGAUCGGAUCUCUACUUUAUUUGACUGCAAGUAGACCCGAUAUCAUGUUUAGUGUAUGUUUGUGUGCAAGAUUUCAGUCAUGUCCCAAGGAAUCACAUUUGCUCGCUGUUAAAAGAAUUUUCCGUUAUUUGAGUGGAACCAUAGAUAUUGGCCUUUGGUAUCCUAGGGGAACUCAUAUAGAUUAACAUGUUUUUCGGAUGCAGACUUUGCCGGUUAUAAAAUGGAUAGGAAGAGCACUAGUGGAACUUGCUAUAUUCUAGGACACUCUCUUGUUUCAUGGUUUAGCAAGAAACAAAAUUCUGUUGCACUUUCAACUACCGAGGCUGAAUAUAUAGCUGCCGAAAGUUUUUGUGCUCAAGCACUUUGGAUGAAACAAACACUUAGAGAUUAUGGCAUUAAUCUUGAACAAAUUCCUAUUAAGUGUGAUAACACUAGUGCUAUAAACCUUUCAAAAAAUCCCAUUCAACACUCUCGAACCAAAAAUAUAGAAAUAAGACAUCAUUUCUUGAGAGAUCAUAUUCAAAAGAGAGAUAUUGCAUUAGAGUUUAUUUCUAUGGAAAACCAACUUGCCGAUAUUUUUACAAAACCUCUUUGCGAAGAACAAUUUUCCAAAAUUCGACAUGAACUUGGGAUGAUGAAAUUUUCACAUUAACAUCUUCAUUCAUGCUAUUGAGUCUAUUAACAUUGAUUGAUCUAUGACUUGAUGCUUUAAUUUCUAUGGAAUGCUCAAUCAUAAUAUACAUGUGAUGUGUAUGUAUAUUUGAAAAUAUAUGAAUUAAUUGUUGCAAUACAUAUAUAUGUUCAUGAAUUAUGCAUUUAACUGGCACUCAAAUCAUUUUGGAUCAAUAAAAUGAUCUUGAAAUGUAUUAAUAAGUAGCCAAAUAUCAAAAUACAUGUGCGAAAUCAUAAGUUGUAGAAAACGGAUUGCCGUUAUUUCAAUAAACGGCUAACCGUUUUGGGCAGAAACAAUGGAACGUUUUCUGGAAGCUAUCGGUUCGCCGAUAACUAACUAUCGGCUCGCUGUCCUGAUACAAAAUUUUGAGGGGACUCCCUGGACCCUAUCGGCUCGCCGUUUUGGUUAAUUUGUUUGGAGGGCUCUCUGGACUCUGUCGGCUCGCCGUUUUCUUUAUAACGGCUCGCCGUUAUCACGCGUUAAUUGAACAGUCCUUUGUCUUCCCCCUCAUUUCGGCUUCUCUUUCUCUCUCUCUCUCUAUUCAGCCCGCGACUGCACCAGUUCUCUACUCUCAAAUCCAUCACUUUUCUCGACAUUUUUCAUCAAAUUGAAGCAUUACAAACCAUUUUUAUCUUCUCUAGACCCUUUUAACCGACUCAAAUCUUUCUCUUUCAUCUAAAAUUGAAAAAUCUUCUUUUUAAAACCCUAGAACCAGCCAAGCCUUCCUUGCUCAAAUUAACCCAAAUCUCUUCCUUUUUCCAAUCACAUUUUCACCCACAAUCACUAUCUUAUCUCUCAAACUUCAUUUCCACAAAUUUUUUUUCUCUCCCAACACAUCCAUGGCGGAACGACCACAAAGGCGUGCUCGAACCAAGCACACUGCUCCACACCGUUCUAGUCCACCCAGGUCUCCUCCUCAACACUUUGAGAGUCUUCAUUUUUCCGAUGCUACCUCUGCUCAGCGUUUUCGUGAGAAGUUCAUGGGUAAACCCGUAACUCCCUCUUUUUCUCUUAACAUUUCGGAGUUCUCGGAUAUUACUGUUUGUGGUCACUCAAUUACUCAAAUGCUUAGUCAUUGGAAGCAAGCUUUAAGUAUUGAUGAACCUAUUUAUGAAAAUAUAGUUCGAGUCUUUUAUUCUAACAUAGAAUUCUCCUCUACUAGUCGUGACGAGCUUCAUACAUUUGUAGGAGGAAUUCGCAUUGAACUUGAUGAACCUGAAUUAUGUAGUAUUCUAGGAAUCGCUUAUGGAGGGUUAGAUCUGUACACCGCUAGGAAAGAAUUAUCUUUUAGUAAUUUUCGUCAUGUGGAUGGUGUACGGAACAUUUGUCGUCGUCGAGAUCUUUCCGAUGACAUCUGCUCUUUGCCCUUUAGGUCUCAACUCCUCCCUUUUUAGAUUCGAAUACUUCACAUUAUUCUCCAACACAUGGUCACUCCUAAACAGGGUCACACUAAUGAGGUCACUAGGCUUGAUAUUGGCCUAUUAGAUUCUCUUAUCCGUCGACGCCAUGUGAGCCUAUCCUACACUAUUAUGUGCCAUAUGUUGUCCACCCCUAAAGUCUCCAAUCGAUCCCUUCCUUAUGGCAACAUCAUUACUAGGAUCCUGAACCACUUUCAUGUUCCUAUUGUCGAGCCUGUUUUUCUCGAGACUCGUAAGCUUGGACGAGAAAUUAUUUCUGCCAUCGGAUUCUUUAAGAAGCAUGGGAAAUGGGAGAAGACCACGUCCUCUAAAAACAAAGUCACACUGAUUGCACCCGAGGAUGAUCGCAUGCUGAAUGAUGUCUACUCUGAGAAUGAGCUACCUGAUUUCUGUCUUGGGGCUAGACAGCGUGUUCCUCGCUGAGCAGCAGCACCAGCAGCCCCUGCUUCACCAGCAGCCGCUGCAUCUCAGGAUGACGAGCCUACCGAGACUGCCGUCCCUCCUGCAGCAUCAGCUGUUCCUGAGGAUCGCUUCCAGCAGCUUCUCAACCGAGUGGAUGCUUUGUCCCAGCAGCAGCAGCAGCUUCGAUAUGAUUUUGCAACCUUUCGGGAGCAAAUUUCAAAUCAGUAAAUGGAGUUAAUUGCGGGACAACGUCGAAUUCUUGGCUACUUUGGAUAUGACCCCGGCAGCUCAUCUUCACAGCCCCCAUCUUAGAUUUCUCUGCCCCUCUGAUAUUCGCACAGACAACUUUCAUUUCAUUUGCCAUAUGUGUAUGAUAUCAUUUGUGUUCUGUGUGUUAUGUGUUUUGUGAUUAUGCUUUUGAUAAUACAUGUUGGACAUAUGCAAUUAAUUUCUGUUUAGGUUGUUUUUGGUAUUAUAUUGAUUAUAUUGCUCAUUCUGGAAGUGUGAAUCUGUUGGUAUGGAGGUUGGAUGAUAUGGUGGCAUGCUUAUAUGGGAGUGUUUUUUGUUUUGACUCUAUGUAUUCUUAAGGAUAUACUCAUAUUUCAGGGGAAAUUCUGCCAAAAAUUUUUUUUUCCAAUCAUAAGUCCUUCCUCGCGCCUAAUUUUUUUUUUAUAAUGAAGGGGGAGAGAUAAUUGGCAUACUCUUUUUUUUUGUUGUCAUGUUUAAAACUUUGUUUGAUAUUAAAAGUUAAAUGAAUUUUUUUUUAAGAGGAGUUAACAAGUCUUUCAAAAUCUCAUUUAGGGGGAGCACAUAUUUAGGGGGAGCAAAACUACACAAGUAUUUUUUUUUGAAAAGUUUGUCAUCAUCAAAAAGGGGGAGAUUGUUAACUUAAAUAAAAUCCUUAAUUGAUUUUGAUGAUAACAAACAUGAUUAAGAUUGAUUAAUCUUUUAAAAGCUCAACAUAUUUUUCAUCUAUUUUGACAAGUUUCAUAAAGUAUUUUUAUAAAGAUUUGGAGACAAAACAGUCAUCUUGCAAAAUAGUUCACUGCAGCAGUUUUUGUGGAAAACGGCUAACCGACAGUUGUGAUAAACGGCUCGCCGAUAUCAACCAGAACUGAAGUAUAGCCUCUGGACCUAAACGGCGAUCCAACAGGUUUGAUAAACGGCUCACCGAUAUCAACCAGUAGCCUCUGGACCAAAACGGUGAUCCGACAAAUUUGAUAAAUGGCUCGCCAAUAGCAAACAGAAGUGAAGUGUAGCCUCUGGACAUAAACGGCGAUCCGACAAUUUGAAAAAUCAGUCCAACGGUCAUAUUGACCAGUCAAACGGUGAUCUUAUAUCUAUUUAACGGCGAUCCGACAAUGUGCAGACAGUCUAUAACGGCUAGUUUUCAGCUGCAGCUAUAAAUAAGCUCAUUCAAAUUCAAACAAAAAUUGAUCACAACACGACCUUUGAGCAAAUAUUCAAGAAUACAAUCUUCAUAAAGCUUAAAACACUUUCUUGCUUUAUCUAUUCACAUAUUAAGCAUCAUUGUGUAAUCUUAUAUAUUCUGAGAGGUAAAACAAAUUUGUAAUCUUUUACUUUGAGUGAUUAUAAGUGUUGGGAUACACUUGGGUUAAGAGAUUGGGGAUAAUCUCUUGUUGUAAAGGUUUAUUGACACCUUGAAAGUCAAGUGUAAGCAUUUGAAGCCUUGGCGGCUUGCUUAGUGGAAUCCUCAAGUCCGGAAAGCUUGGAGGCAUGGACGUAGGCGAGGUUGGCCGAACCACGUAAAAAUCUUUGUGUUUGAAUCCCUCUUCCCUUUUCUUUUUAUAUUGUGAUCAACUUAAUUGAUAUUGCUUUGAAUUUGGAUUAUAUUUGCAUUAAGUUUUUCUUUAUAAAUUGAAUAAUUUUUAGAAUCUCAAUUCACCCCCCUCUUGGGUUGCAUACUUGUAUUUCAAAAAAAACGUUUCAAUCAACUCCACUCACUUGGCAUGGCAUUUAUCUAGCUUAUGUUGACCUUUUAAAUACUUCAAAACUCGUGAUUCGUAUAAAUCAUAAACUUUUCUGGCCAAAGAUAGUGCUGUUAAGUUUCCAAAACCCAAUUAAUAAAUGCAGUUCAUUGUCGUAUGUAGAGUAAUUUAAGGCUGCCCUACUUAACUUUUCAUAAAUUAUGUCAAUGGAAUGUCCUUUUGCAUUAGAGCAUUUUCAAUAUUUUUAGCAAAGUUAGGUAAAGCAAAUAGAGGUGCAUUAGCUAAUUUCUUUUUAAUCAAAUUAAAUGUCUUUUCUUGUUCUUCCCCUCACUUAAAAUCCACAUUCCUUUUUAUUAUUUCAGUCAAAGGUGCUGCUAAGUUACUGAAAUCCUUUAUAAAUCUCUUAUGAAAGCUAGCCAAUCCAUGAAAACUUCUAACAUUACCCACACUUGUAGGUUUUGGCCAAUCUUGAAUUGCCUUAUUGAUGAGAAUGAGGACAAAACUAUCACAAGAAUGUGGGAUAAGAUAUAUUCAGAUCCUAUUCAAGUUCCCAUCAGACUUGUCACAAGAGCUCGAGUAAAGAAAUCAAAGAAGCACUUAAUGAGUUUAUUCAAGCAACUUGGGCUCAAUCAAAUUUGUGGAGGGUUGUUGAAGGAAUCGCACAUAAUAAAUGCAUGAUUCAGGCUCUUGAAUUUUCCAAAUAAUCACUUACAUGAAAUAGGAAGUUGCCUUGCAUAUUCUGAUAGGAAAACAUAUUAUUUUUCUUUUUUGAAUAUUUUUCCGUUUAGAAAAUAUACUACUUUCCCUUUUGGAUACUUUCCUGUUUCUUGAGGAGGCUAGUGGAAAAACAAAUCAGUUAUUUCACUUUUAAUUGCUGAGUUUCCAUUUUAAUUGACACAAGGCAUUUAAGCCGAUUAGGAUUCUAAUUUGAUUUAGAUUCUUUCCUAUUCGCUUAGAUUAUGAUUCUGAUUUAAUUUAGAUCCUUUUCUUAUUUACUUUAGAUUAAGAUUCUGAUUGUGGCGUCCUCAUAUAUCAAGAUUCAUGCUUUCAUUGAGUAUCAGGCCGCGGUUCCAUUUGAUUUUAGGUUUAGAUUUGAUCUUGUAGAUUACAUUGAUUAAGGUCGUAUCAGCUUUUGGCGGGGGUCGUAUCACCUUUUGGCGGGGUUCGUAUCAUUUACCUUUUCUUUAUAUACCUCAAUUCCAUUAGUACUAAUAAUAAUAAAAUCAAGAAAUAUAAGCUUAUCUGUACAAAAGGUACACUUUUUAAAGUUAGCAAACAAAUUUUCUUUUCUUAAACAUAUAAAAAAAAUUUAAAUUUUCUACAUAUAAAUUUGAGUUUUUGCUAUAAAUCAGAGUAACUUCAAAGUAUCCAACCAUAAAUUUACCAAUAAAAGCACGCAACACGUGAUUCAAUAAUCUCAUAACAGUACUAGGUCCAUUGGUUAAUCCGAAUAGUAUAAUUAACCACUCGUAUAAGCCAUAUUUUGUUUUAAAUUCAAUUUUCCAUUCAUCAUUUUCUCUUAUCCUAAUUUGAUGAUAUCCAUUUUAAGAUCAAUUUUGGUAAAAACACAAGAACCUUAUAAUUUAUCAAGCAUGUCAUCUAAUUUAAGAAUGAGAUGUCUCUACUUGAUAAUGAUAUUAUUGAUGACACAACAACCAACACAAAUUCUCUAUAACCCAUCCUUUUUAGGCACAAGCAACACUAGAAUUACAAACGAACCUGUGCUUUCACACUCAUAUCCUUUUACUGUAAGUUCACUCACUUGCCUCUAAAUUUCCCUUAUUGGUAGUAAACCAUUAGGUAUCUAUUCAAAAGAUACAUCUUUAAAUUACUGUAAAAGAGAAACAAUAACACUAGGCAAAGAAGGAUUAAGUUCACUAGUACUUAAACAGACCUCUUUGUAAAAGCACAAUCAUAGGUUGUUUUAAAAUUAAAGCUCUUCUAACAACACUCUCUUUUGCAAAUAAAUUUACUUGUUUUUUGUCUUUUUAUUUCCUUUCUAACUGGAACUCAUUCCUUUUUCGCUAUCUUCUUCUCUCUUUUGAGUUUCAGCCUCUCUUGAUUUUCAACUCUCAUUUUCCUUUUUUAGGUUAUUCUCUUUCUUUAAUCUCACUUGAUCAUCAUACACUGGCCUUGGGGGUAAGAAUGCAACAAUAAUAGUGUUUUCAUUAAGUAUAAAGGAGUAUCUAUUGGUAUAACUAUCAUGAAUAACACAUCUAUCAAACUACCAUGGCUACCCCAAAAGAAUAUGCCCCGCAAACAUUAGCACUAUAUCACAUAUAACCUCAUCUCUAUACUUUCCAAUUGAGAAUAAAAAAGCACUUGUUUGAUAUUAACUUCUCCACAAUCAUUUGGCCAUUAUAGCUUAUAUGAUCUACAUUGUUUCAAAGUUUUCAAAUUUAAUUUUUCAACUAAACUAGUGCUAUCCACAAUAGUACAACUCCAUCUAUCAAUAAUCAUGCUACAUAUUUUAUUAUUAACAUGGCAUUAAGCAUAAAAGAUGUUUUCACAUUGUACCUUAUCAUCUUCUUUGAUUUGCACACUUAAAGCUCUUCUUGCAACCAAAAGCUCUUCAUCAACCAGAUAUUCAACUCCACUUACAUCCUCUGAAAGUAGCAUGGACUCAUCAUCAAAUUCACCUUCAGUCUUAAUGUCUAAGUCGUCUUCAAAACCAUCAUUCUUUUGUUUGGGCAUUGAGAUGCAAUAUAACCUAUUUACAAACACUUAAAACAUUUGACAUCUCUAUUUCUACUAAGUUAGGAAUCAAAUCUACCUUCAUAUGGUGCAUCUCCAUUCUCAUUAUCUUUGGAGAUUUCAGCUUUAGGCUUCAAAUUAGGAUUUUUAUCCUUUUAAUUCUAAUUUGGUUUUCAUAUUAAAGAAGACCCCAAAUUCUACUCAAUUCAUGUGGAACCAUUCCUUUUUAAUUAUUGUUCCACUUUUAUGCCCUUAUGCACCAUGUCAUCUAAUCAACAUAAUGUUAUAAUUCACCAUGUUUGUAAUAUCAGCGUUCAAACUAACCAAGAGCCUGGCUAUAAUAGCUUCUUUAUCCUCCUCCACGUUGACUCAGAUCAUGGCUAUUUACAUCUCCAUGUGGUAGUCUUUAAUGACUUUAGACACUUGAGUAAGGCUUUAUAACUUUUGAAAUAAGUUUCGAUAGUAGUGACUUGGAAUAAAUCUCUUUUUCAUAAUAGCCUUCAUCUUUUCCCAUGUCUCAACAACCCUAUCACGAUUUCAUCUCCUAUUUAAAACAAGUUAAUCCCACUAAACAAUAGCAUAUUCAAUGGCGACAAGCUUUACCUUUUUCAAUUUAAAGGAGUUAUGGCAAUCAAAUACUAAUUCCACCUUCUUUUCUAAUCUUUAACUUAAUAUUUCCCAUAUUUUUAUCAAUCUUAUCUUCAUAUCUAACCUCUUCAUCAAUGGCGACAAGCUUUACCUUUUUCAAUUUAGAGGAGUUAUGGCAAUCAAAUACUAAUUCCACCUUCUUUUCACAUUUUAAAUAAGCUUUAGGAUCAAUUUUUGCUUUGAAAAGAUAGAAUCUUUAACUUAAUAUUUCUCAUAUUGUUAUCAAUCUUAUCUUCAUAUCUAACCUCUUUAUUUCCAUUCCCCUACCCAAGUUUGCUUAAAUUAAUAUGAGGAGCAUAAAAUAAGGGCCUCUUUAUUUAUAAACAUAAGAACCAAUAGUAUAAGAAAUCUAGGCUUGACCCUAUACUUAAGAAAGAAGAGAAAAUUAUGAGUGAUAAAUCAAGAAAGAACAUCAUAAGAUGAAAUCUUGAUAAGUUCUGAAGGUGACACAACUCAAAAGUGUUUAAUUUACUCCCAAGUAUAAGAGUGCCUAGUUAUAUUAUACCUCAGUGAGUCGGAGGUCGAUCUAUAGAAAAAAGAUUUAAAUUAUUUAUUUUAGU
Molecule: long non-coding RNA, 15287 nt
Filed under: Citrus x clementina
Lineage: Eukaryota; Viridiplantae; Streptophyta; Magnoliopsida; Sapindales; Rutaceae
Description: Citrus clementina (C. clementina) long non-coding RNA (CCLE_LNC006608)
Source: RNAcentral